Molecule: transfer RNA, 73 nt
Filed under: Paracoccaceae bacterium
Lineage: Bacteria; Pseudomonadati; Pseudomonadota; Alphaproteobacteria; Rhodobacterales; Paracoccaceae
Description: tRNA-OTHER
Rfam family: tRNA
About the family: Transfer RNA (tRNA) molecules are approximately 80 nucleotides in length. Their secondary structure includes four short double-helical elements and three loops (D, anti-codon, and T loops).
Source: RNAcentral
UCCCCGGUGGUCUAACGGUAGGACGCCCGGCCUUACAACUGCGGAGGUCCAGGUCCGAAUCCUGGUCGGGGAA